Molecule: long non-coding RNA, 5108 nt
Filed under: Salvia miltiorrhiza (redroot sage)
Lineage: Eukaryota; Viridiplantae; Streptophyta; Magnoliopsida; Lamiales; Lamiaceae
Description: long non-coding RNA (SMIL_LNC006443)
Source: RNAcentral
ACUACAAGAAAUUAAGGGUUUUAGCCACACAUAAUUUGUGACACAUUAUUAUGUGUGGCAGUAUAGCCACACAUAAUUAAAUAUGUGUAGGUAAAUUCAUUUAACAGUUUUAAAUAAUUAAUGACAUUUAAUUAUGUGUAGGUAAAAAGAUUUAGUCACAUUUAUUUUUUAUUUUUAUUUUCCGUUUAACUCUUAAUAUAUUUUAUGCUGACGUGGAAAUUUUAGCCACACAUAAUUUGUGGCACAUAAUAAUGUGUGGCAAUACACCCACACAUAAUUGAAUAUGUGUAGGUAAAUUGAGUAGAUGAUUUUAAAUAGUUAAAGACAUUUAAUUAUGUGUGGGUAAAAAGAUUUAGUCACAUUUAUUUUUUAUUUUUAUUUUUUGUUUAAUUCUUAAUAUAAAUACAAUUACGCUGAUGUGGCAAAUUAAUAACGAUCAUUAGCUACAUCAUAAAUUUAAUUUAAGAUGUUAGAUUCAAAAUCUAGAAUAAGUAAUUCAAGUAUUGAAAUUAAAAUUGUCGGACAAGUUUCUCAAUCAUAAUUAAAAUUAAUUUCGUAAAGAUGAAAUGAAAUGAUAUAUAUAAAUUUACACUCAUGAAAAAUUAUUAAUUAUACUUUUCCAUGAAUAAUUGGUUAAAAAUUUAAAUAUGUUAUAUAUAAUAAAGUAAUAUACAAAAUAUGAUAAUUGUUGCCAAAAAAAUGCAAUUAUAUAAAAUUAUUGAAAACUAAAAGUUUAAAACAAACAUUUACCCACAAAAAUUAGAAAACAUUUUAUUUUACCGCUAAUCUUCACAAAACGUUUUCAUUUUACCGCCAGAUGCUAAAACCCUCCACAUAUUCGGCAGUUACUCCAAGCGAUCCCCACAUCCCUCUCCAAAUACUCCAAACAAAGCUCUAAUUUUUCCUUUCAUGGGCUGUUUAUCGGGAGACGACAGCGCGAUAAGGAUAGGCGAUGAGGUGCCGUUGAAGUUGAGGUUGGAGGAAGUGGAGGGGGGCGGCGACCUGGUGGUGGAUUUCGGCGAUCCAGGGGCAUUGGUGGGAGACGGCGUUGCGGCGGAGAGGCUCCUACCCUAGAUCUGGGUCAUUGUAUUUUUUUAAAUUUGAUUUUAGUAGUAUUAUUGUUAAUUGUUUGAUCAAUGUUUUCUUGAUUGUGGUAGAUUUGAGUCGUAGAAGGGGAUGAUCUUCUGAGGCUUUUUCUCACCAUGGAGUCAGUUAUCUCUUUCUCCCCUCCCCUCUCUCUCCACUUAGAAUUCAAGCUCAAGUUAUAAUACUUGCAUUAUAUAUAUAUGCAGUGAAACUAGCCUGCAAUAGCAAUUGGAGCAGCAUUUGGAAACUGUCUCUGAGCUUCAUCCAUUCCGGCUUCUUUGGGGGAAGAAGACAAGGUGAGCACUGGUUUGGAACUUCUUCUGCUUCUUUGCAUUCUCACACAUUAAUUUCAAGUAAAAUGUCAUCUCUCAAAUAAGAUUUGAUUUAUGUAAUUAGAUUGAAUUGGCGUUGACAAAUCUUGCUUUAUCUUCCUUUAUAUAUGCUGAUAGAAACAAAAAUAUGUUUAACUAACUGGUGAAGAACUAUUAUUGGAGGGAUUGUUGCUGACUAUUCUUGCAACUAUAGGAAAUGGCUCAUGUUUUCAGCUUUGUAGGAGUGUCAGCUUAUCACUUUGUAAAUUGUGUAGAAAUAUGUAGUGUAAAAAUAUUGGUAAAUUAAGAUGUGGCUUCAUUAAAUGUAAAUUGUGUCGAACUAUUGUUGGUUGUUUUGUUUGUUUGUUUAGCUAGCAAACUUUACCAAUUGAUGCAUCAAAUGGUUUGAGGGAUUUUGAAUAAAUAUGAUAUCAAGUCUUUUUUCGACUUUGAAGUAUUUGAUUUAUUCAUCCCCUACAGGAAAGAAAUUUGGCUUUAAAUGCAUCAUAUUUCCUAAAAGCUGGUGGCCACUUUGUCAUAUCUAUCAAGGUUUGUAUCUCUGAUUUCUUUUAAUGUCUGAUAGCUUAAUAGUAAGAAUCACUAAGCUUAAUAUUUCUGAUGUUCUUCUUAAGGUCUAAAAAUCAUAAGGCACGAAACUAAUGUAUAUGUAUUUCACUCAAUAUAAAUGUUGUUCUCACAUAAAGAAGUGAUUUUUUAAAAUCUUGUUGGGGAAAUAAUUUAUAGCCCAGCAACUUUGUUUUAUCCACUCGAACUCACUCUUGCUUCUUCUAGCUUGAGAAUUGAUUCUUUUAAAAACUGAAAUCACUUAAUGGAUUAAACUAACAAUUGGAGCAAUUAUAUUUUUUAGGUUAUUUUAACUUUGUUAUAUGUACUUUACAAUAUGUUAAAUUGUGUAUAUUGACUAAUAUUGUGUUUCUCUUAUCUUGACAGGAGUAAUUGAAAAAGUUAUCAUGAUGGUUAACCAAUGUUCAACUAUUCUAAUGUACAAUGGAAUUGCUUUUGAUCAAGAGCUCGAAGAAAAUUAUCAGUCCUAGAUUAAUCGCGAGUUGUAGAUUAAGUGCUUAGUUAUUUAGAUAUUUAUAAUUAUAUGUAGUUAGUCAUUUCGCACAUAUACUUUGAUUUUGUUGAAUAUUUUUUAUGUAAAUGUUUUGUAUGAUAUUCUUGUUAUAUUUAAUGUGUUGAGUAUUAUAUUUAAUUUUUUAUUUUUGAUUGUAAUUAUGAUUAUGAUUAUAUUAUAGUUGACUAAUAAAAUAUAAUAUUUGAAAAUAGUAAUAUCUUUUCUAAAAUUCAAUUACAAAAAAAAAUAUUUUUCUCCACACAUAUAAAUAUACCUUUAGUAAGCACAGGUCCUUCAAGUAAAACCCUGUGUGUUAUUGUUGGCAGUACAAUAAAUAAUAUAAAAUGUUAUGUUUCCGGCAUAUGUUCACUGAGUAUUUUUUACUCAGCCCUGCAUGUUGUUUCCCUAAUGUGCAGGUUGAGCGGGUAAUGGAAUGGAGUGGAGUUGAGCGGAUGUACCCUUGUGACGUAGAACAGUAAUGUAACCUUGAGUAUACAUCUUCAUAUGUAUAACUCACACGUAUUUCCGCUGCAAGAUACUCUGAUUAUGCUAGUGUUUUAUUUUAAGUAUGAUACUCUUUUGUUGGGUAAUCCACUUCGACGGGCCUUCCCGAACGAACGUCUUGUUUUUGCUCAAGUGAUCAGUUAUGAUCCUAGUGUUAUAUAAUAAAUGUCUCUUUUCGUAAAAUGUUUGAUUGUUAAGUAAAUGCCCAUUUCUUUCCCCGCUUCUUAAUCCCCUUCCCGAGUCAUAACCCCGGUUAAGCUAUCCUUAGGGAUUGCGGGCUGUGACAGGGGACCACCAUUAUAGCACCAACUUAAGCACCUCCCAUUGGAGAUGCUCUUAGGUGGUAAAAUUAAUCCAUGAACGACUCGAGCAUGACAUCUCUAUUUACUAUUCCAAAUCUUUUUGCCCUUGUAUAUUUGCAACUUCACCGGAAGACCAUGGAUUUGUUUAUACUCUCUCCCUCUCAUAAGAGAGUAUCAUUUGGAGAUGACACGAAUUUUAAGAAAAAGAUUAGUAAAUAAUUAUGUUGAGUGCAAAAUGAAUAAUUGUGGAUUUAUAUAAAAAUGAGUGGUUGUAAAUAAGAAGAGAAAGUGAAGUCAUGUCCCAAAAUGAAAAUGAUACUUUCUUAUGGAACACAUAAAAAUGAAAAAUAUGAUAUUUUUUUGGGCAAAUUGCAUGAAAAUACCCCACUUUUUUUCAAAUUUGAUUUUUUGACAAACUUUUUUUUUGUUGCAAAAAUUUGAACGAGCUUUCAAUUUGUUGCAAUGUCCGGCCCGUUAAAUUUUCGGGCCAAAUGAAUGCCAACGUGGCAUUAAAAAUGCCACAUCACACUCACAAACCCCCACGUCACCCUCUCUCCCUCUCUCUCUCCACGACCUGUUUCGCCCCCCUCCAAAUUCUCCCAUCGUCUCUCCCGCUCCCUACUUUUCUCAAAUCGCCAGUUCUCAUCGUCUCUCCUGCUUCCUCAUUUUCUCAAAUCGCCGGUCGCCGUUCUUCUGAGAACAAAACAGGUAGUGGUGUCCAAAUGGAAACCAGUGCCGCCGCCUGAGAAAAUGGGGUGAGCCCUAAUUCGCUUGCUCGCCGCUCUUCGGCUAGAGAAAACGUCGGCCCUCAAGCCGGUGGACCCGAGAAUUUGGGCGUGGAAAACAGGGAGUCGGAGAUGGUGAUGUGGGGAGACCCGAGAAUCUGGACANGUGUAGAAAUAUGUAGUGUAAAAAUAUUGGUAAAUUAAGAUGUGGCUUCAUUAAAUGUAAAUUGUGUCGAACUAUUGUUGGUUGUUUUGUUUGUUUGUUUAGCUAGCAAACUUUACCAAUUGAUGCAUCAAAUGGUUUGAGGGAUUUUGAAUAAAUAUGAUAUCAAGUCUUUUUUCGACUUUGAAGUAUUUGAUUUAUUCAUCCCCUACAGGAAAGAAAUUUGGCUUUAAAUGCAUCAUAUUUCCUAAAAGCUGGUGGCCACUUUGUCAUAUCUAUCAAGGUUUGUAUCUCUGAUUUCUUUUAAUGUCUGAUAGCUUAAUAGUAAGAAUCACUAAGCUUAAUAUUUCUGAUGUUCUUCUUAAGGUCUAAAAAUCAUAAGGCACGAAACUAAUGUAUAUGUAUUUCACUCAAUAUAAAUGUUGUCUGACAUAAAGAAGUGAUUUUUUAAAAUCUUGUUGGGGAAAUAAUUUAUAGCCCAGCAACUUUGUUUUAUCCACUCGAACUCACUCUUGCUUCUUCUAGCUUGAGAAUUGAUUCUUUUAAAAAUUGAAAUCACUUAAUGGAUUAAACUAACAAUUGGAGCAAUUAUAUUUUUUAGGUUAUUUUAACUUUGUUAUAUGUACUUUACAAUAUGUUAAAUUGUGUAUAUUGACUAAUAUUGUGUUUCUCUUAUCUUGACAGGAGUAAUUGAAAAAGUUAUCAUGAUGGUUAACCAAUGUUCAACUAUUCUAAUGUACAAUGGAAUUGCUUUUGAUCAAGAGCUCGAAGAAAAAUUAUCAGUCCUAGAUUAAUCGCGAGUUGUAGAUUAAGUGCUUAGUUAUUUAGAUAUUUAUAAUUAUAUGUAAUUAGUCAUUUCGCACAUAUACUUUGAUUUUGUUGAAUAUUUUUUAUGUAAAUGUUUUGUAUGAUAUUCUUGUUAUAUUUAAUGUGUUGAGU